RNAcentral lists this small nuclear RNA (207 nucleotides) under Scrippsiella hangoei. Its description in RNAcentral is "partial Dictyostelium signal recognition particle". The record is from RNAcentral. Lineage: Eukaryota; Dinophyceae; Peridiniales; Peridiniaceae.
GGCUGUCGUGGCCUAUGUGCCAGAGUAUCGCUUUGACGGGAUGGAUUGGGUCGGUACCAUGAAGCACACGACACAUCUCAUUCUCUUCUCCCUCGAGCCGACUGCCUCUGGUGAGCUCAUGGGCUCAGACCAGCUCAAGGUAGUUUUGAAUCCCGACUCUCGGUUCAAGUUUGCCUUGGACCAGGCAGGGGCAAGCGCACCGAAGGU